RNAcentral lists this long non-coding RNA (218 nucleotides) under Mytilus galloprovincialis (Mediterranean mussel). The record is from RNAcentral. Lineage: Eukaryota; Metazoa; Mollusca; Bivalvia; Mytilida; Mytilidae.
UGUCAUUAAUCAUCCUUAGCAUAAAAUUUCACUUCUCUAAUAUUCAGCAUUUCCCUCCCUUUUCUCAUCAACUUGACGUAGCGUGCAUACUUGUGUUUUGGCUGGCAUUCAAAUAUAAGAUGUUCUCCAUCUUGUCUUGUUCCUUUGUAAUGAGCACAUAGAGACAUGUGGUUGUGUGCAGGUCCAAAGGUUAUAUAUAAGUCAUGAAGUCGUUCUCC